Molecule: unclassified non-coding RNA, 246 nt
Filed under: Hevea brasiliensis (rubber tree)
Lineage: Eukaryota; Viridiplantae; Streptophyta; Magnoliopsida; Malpighiales; Euphorbiaceae
Source: RNAcentral
AAAAUCGACAAGUAUGUUAACCCGAGAAGAACAAACUAGUCAAGAUGCUCAGCCAAAAGAAGCAGUCAAGUUUCAUUUAAGGCAUAGAUCAGCUGGUAAAACUAGAGAAGCUAAACACUCUGUUUUUGAGUCUACAUCAAGGGAUUUAGGUAGAAUUCAGACAUUGCAUACAAGGAUUGUUGACAAAAAGAAUCAAAACUCUGUUUCAAGAUUGGGUGAAAAAACUGUUAUUUCUUCACAAUUUGA